GACAUGUGGACAGUAUGGGAGUGAGAAUGUUGGCAUGAGUAGCGAGAUGUGGGUGAGAAUCCCACAGGCCGUAAACCCAAGGUUUCCAGGGGAAGGUUCGUCCGCCCUGGGUUAGUCGGGACCUAAGCUGAGGCCGAAAGGCGUAGGUGAUGGACAACAGGUUGAUAUUCCUGUACUACCGAUAACCGUUUGAGAGAAGGGAUGACACAGUAGGAUAAGCUAAGCACACUGUUGGUUAUGUGUGCCCAAGCAUUGAGGCAGUCAAAGUAGGCAAAUCCGCUUUGAUAAUGCUGGGAUGUGAUGGGGAGCGAAAUUUAGUAGCGAAGUAGCUGAUUUCACACUGUCAAGAAAAGUCUCUAUCGAGGUUAAAGGUACCCGUACCGCAAACCGACACAGGUGGGUGAGGAGAGUAUCCUAAGGCCAGCGAGAGAACUGUUGUUAAGGAACUCGGCAAAAUGACCCCGUAACUUAGGGAUAAGGGGUGCCACCAUCAGGUGGCCGCAGAGAAUAGGCCCAAGCGACUGUUUACCAAAAACAUAGGUUUCUGCUAAGUCGCAAGACGAUGUAUAGGAGCUGACGCCUGCCCGGUGCUGGAAGGUUAAGGGGAUCUGUUAGAGCAAUCGAAGCAGUGAACUUAAGCCCCAGUAAACGGCGGCCGUAACUAUAACGGUCCUAAGGUAGCGAAAUUCCUUGUCGGGUAAGUUCCGACCCGCACGAAAGGCGUAACGAUUUGGGCACUGUCUCAACAACAGACUCGGUGAAAUUGUAAUUCCGGUGAAGAUGCCGGAUACCUGCGACAGGACGGAAAGACCCCAUGGAGCUUUACUGUAGCUUGACAUUGGGUCUUGGUACUACAUGUACAGGAUAGGUGGGAGGCUUUGAAACCAGGACGCCAGUUUUGGCGGAGCCAUCCUUGGGAUACCACCCUUGUAGUACUGGGACUCUAACCAUAGGCCAUGAAUCUGGUCUUGGGACACUGUCAGGUGGGCAGUUUGACUGGGGCGGUCGCCUCCCAAAAGGUAACGGAGGCGCUCAAAGGUUCUCUCAGUACGGUCGGAAAUCGUACGUAGAGUGUAAAGGCAAAAGAGAGCUUGAUUGCAAGACAUACAGGUCGAGCAAGGAUGAAAAUCGGACUUAGUGAUCCGGUGGUUCUGCGUGGAAGGGCCAUCGCUCAACGGAUAAAAGCUACCCUGGGGAUAACAGGCUUAUCUCCCCCAAGAGUCCACAUCGACGGGGAGGUUUGGCACCUCGAUGUCGGCUCAUCACAUCCUGGGGCUGUAGUAGGUCCCAAGGGUUGGGCUGUUCGCCCAUUAAAGUGGUACGCGAGCUGGGUUCAGAACGUCGUGAGACAGUUCGGUCCCUAUCCGUCGCAGGCGUAGGAAAUUUGAGAAGACCUGUCCUUAGUACGAGAGGACCGGGAUGGACG
RNAcentral lists this ribosomal RNA (1426 nucleotides) under Clostridioides difficile. RNAcentral's name for it is "partial 23S ribosomal RNA". It matches the Rfam family "Bacterial large subunit ribosomal RNA", at positions 1268 to 2703 of the family's 2925-position model. The record is from RNAcentral. Lineage: Bacteria; Bacillati; Bacillota; Clostridia; Peptostreptococcales; Peptostreptococcaceae.